GAUGAACGCUAGCGGCAGGCUUAAUACAUGCAAGUCGAGGGGCGGCAUGAAUGUAGCAAUACAUUUGAUGGCGACCGGCAAACGGGUGCGGAACACGUACACAACCUUCCUAUAAGUGGGGAAUAGCCCAGAGAAAUUUGGAUUAAUACCCCGUAACAUAAUGAUGUGGCAUCACAUUAUUAUUAUAGCUACGGCGCUUAUUGAUGGGUGUGCGGCUGAUUAGAUAGUUGGCGGGGUAACGGCCCACCAAGUCUACGAUCAGUAGCUGAUGUGAGAGCAUGAUCAGCCACACGGGCACUGAGACACGGGCCCGACUCCUACGGGAGGCAGCAGUAAGGAAUAUUGGUCAAUGGACGCAAGUCUGAACCAGCCAUGCCGCGUGAAGGAUUAAGGUCCUCUGGAUUGUAAACUUCUUUUAUCUGGGACGAAAAAAGGCUAUUCUUAGUCACUUGACGGUACCAGAUGAAUAAGCACCGGCUAACUCCGUGCCAGCAGCCGCAGUAA
This 504-nucleotide ribosomal RNA is filed under the name uncultured bacterium. RNAcentral's name for it is "partial 16S ribosomal RNA". It matches the Rfam family "Bacterial small subunit ribosomal RNA", at positions 28 to 523 of the family's 1533-position model. The record is from RNAcentral.